This 1485-nucleotide ribosomal RNA is filed under the name Triticum aestivum (bread wheat). RNAcentral's name for it is "partial small subunit ribosomal RNA". The record is from RNAcentral. Lineage: Eukaryota; Viridiplantae; Streptophyta; Magnoliopsida; Poales; Poaceae.
AUGGCGACACCUGCCUCCUCACGCCUGCUCGACGGCCGCCGUCCGGUGCUGUGGCCGCCGGCAGAGUGGAGCGACGAAGCAGAGCCAGGCAGGAAAUGGGAGGUGCACGACAUGGCAACGCCCUCACCCUCAUCUUCGCUCCUCCUCGAGGGCCGCCCUCCUGGCCUUUGGCCGCCGCCGGAGUGGAAGAAGAAGAUGAAGCCAGAGGAGGUAACCAGAGACUGGGCGGAGCUGCCGCGGGAUGCGCUGCUACUGGUGCUCGAGAAACUGCACCAGGUCGACGUUCUCCUGGGGGCCGAGCUGGUGUGUCGUCCCUGGCACCGGGCUACCCGGGACGAGCCGUCCUUGUGGCGCCGAAUUGACUUGCGGUUAAGCCAUCUCCCCGACCCCUCCUCUUACCGCUUCCACCCCAUGGGCCACGCCGCCAUCCAGCGCAGCCGAGGGAGCUGCGAGACACUGUACAGCGAGGGCGCCAUCGAUGAAGAGGCCAUAUCUCUCCUGAAAGAGUCGGCGCUCUUCUUGAAGAGUCUUCGACUAAUCAAUUGUAUAUUGAUCAAUGAUAGGAUCAGCCUUAACAUAUCACAUUUGGUUAUGCUUGAGGAGCUAGAAAUCUCAAACUAUGGUGUCCACAAGUUCUCUUCCACAUGCUUCGCGGUUGGAUACUCUUGCCCGCACCUGAAGCGUUUUCGUCUCAGCAGUUCAUGCUUCAUUAAACGGCCCGUCUGGGGCGCGAUUGAUUGCGAAGUUGAGGGGAUCACCCUGAUGCGUGGGCUACGUUCGUUGCAGCUCUUUGCUCAGACUAUUAGCACAACUGGGUUGGCAGCCAUCCUCGAUAGCUGUGUGCAAAUAGAUUCUCUUGACAUUCGCCAUUGUUUCCAUGUUGAGAUGGGAGAUGAGUUAAUGUCAAGGUGUUCUAAGUUUGAGACUUUAAGGCUCCCACAUGAUUCUACUGACGAUUACGAUCUUGAGUUUUCAGCCCCAGAUAUGAACACUGAGAGCCCACGACCACGACCUGUGCGCAAUUACGGGGACGACGGCUGCGCCUUUUUGGAGGAUUUGCAGGAAAAAAAACACUACCUAGAGCAGCUCAACGCAUUUUGGCGUGGGGUCACCAUCGAUGAGGGAGUCUACCCGGCAACGGGCGAUGGCUUGGUGCCAAGGCCGCUGGAGCCAGCCGGUUGUGGCUCAGCCUCACCUCGCAGCUCCUUCCUCCUCUGUCCCACCGAUGCACGACACCCACACAUGAGGGUGACUCCCAACCUCUCGAUGUGCCCCACGUGCCACGACGCCCGCGCCCCUGGACCAACCCCACAGAUCCCAUCCUUAAACCCACUGUUCUCCACUCAUUUCCCUAGCUCGCGGACCCCUACUUGCCAUGAAGCUGCCAAGCCAAAGCUCAGAAUCCCCGCCAUCGUAGCUCCGCUCCGGCGAGCAAUUCUGAUGGUGCUGUUUUUGACACAUAGGUCUUCCUCGUCGAUUAUUUAA